AGUGAACGCUGGCGGUAGGCCUAACACAUGCAAGUCGAACGGCAGCACAGGAGAGCUUGCUCUCUGGGUGGCGAGUGGCGGACGGGUGAGGAAUACAUCGGAAUCUACUCUGUCGUGGGGGAUAACGUAGGGAGACUUACGCUAAUACCGCAUACGACCUACGGGUGAAAGCAGGGGAUCUUCGGACCUUGCGCGAUUGAAUGAGCCGAUGUCGGAUUAGCUAGUUGGCGGGGUAAAGGCCCACCAAGGCGACGAUCCGUAGCUGGUCUGAGAGGAUGAUCAGCCACACUGGAACUGAGACACGGUCCAGACUCCUACGGGAGGCAGCAGUGGGGAAUAUUGGACAAUGGGCGCAAGCCUGAUCCAGCCAUACCGCGUGGGUGAAGAAGGCCUUCGGGUUGUAAAGCCCUUUUGUUGUGAAAGAAAUCCAGCUGGCUAAUACCCGGUUGGGAUGACGGUACCCAAAGAAUAAGCACCGGCUAACUUCGUGCCAGCCGCCGCGGUAA
RNAcentral lists this ribosomal RNA (506 nucleotides) under uncultured bacterium. RNAcentral's name for it is "partial 16S ribosomal RNA". It matches the Rfam family "Bacterial small subunit ribosomal RNA", at positions 29 to 523 of the family's 1533-position model. The record is from RNAcentral.